GGAGAGGUGUCAGAGUGGUCGAAUGAACCGGUUUCGAAAACCGGCGAUGGCGAAAGCUAUCCGUGGGUUCAAAUCCCACCCUCUCCG
Molecule: transfer RNA, 87 nt
Filed under: Candidatus Moraniibacteriota bacterium
Lineage: Bacteria; Candidatus Moraniibacteriota
Description: tRNA-Ser
Rfam family: tRNA
About the family: Transfer RNA (tRNA) molecules are approximately 80 nucleotides in length. Their secondary structure includes four short double-helical elements and three loops (D, anti-codon, and T loops).
Source: RNAcentral